CCUGCUUCCAGGAAAAGCCUCUAAGCAUCAGGUAACAUCAAAUCGUACCCCAAACCGACACAGGUGGUCAGGUAGAGAAUACCAAGGCGCUUGAGAGAACUCGGGUGAAGGAACUAGGCAAAAUGGUGCCGUAACUUCGGGAGAAGGCACGCUGAUAUGUAGGUGAAGUCCCUCGCGGAUGGAGCUGAAAUCAGUCGAAGAUACCAGCUGGCUGCAACUGUUUAUUAAAAACACAGCACUGUGCAAACACGAAAGUGGACGUAUACGGUGUGACGCCUGCCCGGUGCCGGAAGGUUAAUUGAUGGGGUUAGCGCAAGC
RNAcentral lists this ribosomal RNA (318 nucleotides) under Escherichia coli. RNAcentral's name for it is "partial 23S ribosomal RNA". It matches the Rfam family "Bacterial large subunit ribosomal RNA", at positions 1601 to 1900 of the family's 2925-position model. The record is from RNAcentral. Lineage: Bacteria; Pseudomonadati; Pseudomonadota; Gammaproteobacteria; Enterobacterales; Enterobacteriaceae.